RNAcentral lists this ribosomal RNA (145 nucleotides) under Hucho hucho (huchen). RNAcentral describes it as "5.8S ribosomal RNA (ENSHHUG00000005170.1)". It matches the Rfam family "5.8S ribosomal RNA". Rfam says of the family: 5.8S ribosomal RNA (5.8S rRNA) is a component of the large subunit of the eukaryotic ribosome. It is transcribed by RNA polymerase I as part of the 45S precursor that also contains 18S and 28S rRNA. Functionally, it is thought that 5.8S rRNA may be involved in ribosome translocation. The record is from Rfam by way of RNAcentral. Lineage: Eukaryota; Metazoa; Chordata; Actinopteri; Salmoniformes; Salmonidae.
UAGCCUCUGCGCAAAAUCACUCGGCUCGUGCGUCGAUGAAGAACGCAGCUAGAUGCGAGAACUAAUGCAGGACACAUUGAUCAGACACUUCGAACACACCUUGUGGACCAAGGUUCCUCCUGGGGCUACGCCUGUCUGAGGGUCA